UGAUGGAGCUGGGGGAUCCUGGGGGAGCACAGAUCUCAGUUAAAAUACUCAAAGCUCAUUUCCAGUUAGUGCCCACCCAGCUGCUCUGCACACGAGGGUGUCCUUCCUCAGGCAGAAGUGUUUGGGGGCAAGUGGAGAUGAACUUUUGUUGAUUUUUUUGUUCCUGUUUGGAAGCUUAACACUGUGACAGCAGCUCCAGAUCAGCAUCUUGGCACUCAGUUCUGCUUGGACAUCUGUUGCCAAAAAAGCAAAUAUUUAGAGGAGGGAGAAGAUGUAGCCAAGGAUGGUGGAUUUCAGCACAUACUGAGAUAAGAAAAGGGCACGAGUGGUCACUGACACGUGUUGUAGUAGGCAAAACAUGCAGAGAAUGUUUUACCUUAUGAGAACAGAGCCUUCUGAUGUGCAUUGAAGUUGGACAUCCAGAAGCUGAAGAAUCAGCUGUAUUAAACUGUAUUUCUUAGGUCAGUAUUUAUAGAGCCUGACAUUUUAAGUGCAGUCUUUGUUUUAAGACAGCCAUGAAGUAAAGAGAAGCUUUCGUCUUCUCACAGAAGCUUCAUGAAGCUUGUAGUUGCCAGUUUGGUUGGGAUAGUGUUACUUUAAUAAAGUUUAUUUUUUUUAAAUGUAGUUGCUGAGGCCAUUCAAAACCAGCAGAUUCUGGAAUGUUUUCCUGCUGAGUCACUGCUUAUUCUGGGAAACUCUGAAGGGAGAGAUACUGGAUGUGGGAGACUAAUGCUUUUAAAUCUACUCAUAAUUAAUAAUGGUUGGAACUUUCCCAUGACACUGCAGCUUCUUUAGAAUUAGCCUGAUGUGUUGGAAUGCAGAUAUCAAUUCUGUUGCCUAACAGCUGUACCCCAAUGCCUUCACAGGUGGGGAUGGUUACUGCGAAUAAGACUCUAAUUGCAGUAUUCCAGAGCCACCUCCAAACCCUCCUCCCGAGCCUCCUGCAGAGCUGGGCAGAGAGCUGCACACCCACCUGCUGCUGGACAUUGACAAUGACACGGAGAGCACGGCGCUGUGACCGCGCUGCGGCGCCGCCUUCCAGCUCCUGGCAACCCCAGACCGACCAGGGAAAGGCUUCUUCUGGCAGCGGGCACAGCUGGGCACAGCUGGCAGGGGGCCUCUGGCACUCAGCUCCAGGCUGGCACAGCUCAGAGCAGACCUGUCAGCAAAUGGAGCCCAGCCUUUGGCCGGGUUUCGCCCUCAGAAGAAGUUUAAUGAUCUGGGUCUGGACAACGGUUUUCAAACUCUUGGAUGGAAGGAAUGAAUUCCUGCAGGAGCUCGCCUAGGAAGCGUGGUCAGUGCUGAUACAGGUGGUAUGAGCAGAAAUUCCAAAAGAAUAAGAAGCAGAACGUUAGUUAUUUAAAGUGCAUGUCUGUAUUAGGGAAAUAAUCCUUCUCACGGCACCGUUAGAGGUUCUUUGUAGUUCUUAGCCCGUCCCAGGAGCUGCCUCCAAGGGACAUUGCCUCUCUCCCAAGGGACAUCCCCUCUCUCCCAAGGGACAUUCCCUCCCGGAUUUGCUGCAGAUUCCCCUCAAGCCAUGAACCAAACCCUGCCCCAGUGCUGGUGGUGACUGCUGGUUCUCAGUCACCUGUGGAACUGUGGAUGCAUCCAGUGCCUUGAAGGACUGUCGUGCUGUAGGAGGAACUUCUGUCUCUUUAAUCAUUUCAUUGCUACGUAGGAGCAGUACUUACCCUGAUUUCAUAGUUAUUUGUAUUAACCUGCUUUGUUCAUGUGCAACUGGCAACUGUUUCACGAGGAAACCGUGGAAAUGGGGUUUGUGCUUUUGUUGAAAACGGUUGAAUUUUGAAAGAACUUUGAAACAGCUGUUUGGAUUCAGAAGUUGAGUGAACAUUUAUAAAAUUAAAGAUUGUUUUUUGUCAACUUAAGGCAUCUUUAUUCUAGUUUUGUUGCUUCCACUGGGUCCUGAAGGUCACGGUGAUCCCCUGCGCUGUGUAGCUUGGAGUCACUGGCUGCUCAGCUUGGUUUUGCCUUAAGGACCUCAGUGGGAGCACUGUGAGACCCUCCUUUGUUACCACACCAGCCCUGUAACAAAUCUUUAACUCUAAAUUCAGCUUGGAGAGCCACAGACUCCAGUGCUGUGACUGAUUUUGAUGUUUAUCCCCCAGAGUGUCAGUGCCUCUCUCCCCCAGGGUUUCCAGCAGCAGUUCACAGGCUCAGGCAGGAUCCCCCAGAGCCAAUUCCCUUUGUGUGGUUUAACAGGAGGAUUUCCUGGCUCUGUGGGCUGCUGCAGGUUCCCAGGUGCUCCUGCCUGCUCUCACUGUCACUGCCUGCACAGGGGGUGAGGUUUGCUGUGACCCUGCAGGAUUUAUUGAGUGCUGGAGAGGGGAGCAGGAGCCAGGGCAGCUGAGGGGCUCCAGGAGGAGCCUCCUCCAACCUGGCCAUGGGGCCCAGAGCUCUUGGCAGCCCCCCAAUCCCACAGACUCCAGGCAGGCAGGGACCAAAAAUCUCACUCUUUAAUGUUUCUCUGCAGCUGCACAAGGCCCAGGGCCAGGGAUGGUGCCCAGGGCCAGGGAUGGUGCCCAGCCCAGGGAUCUCCACUGAGGCACUCCCUGAAAGGCUCUGGGUGCCCAGGCCAUGAGGGGCUGGCCCUGGGCACCCCUGCCCUGGCACACCUGGUGGGUUUGGCUGGUGUAGGUCCUUCAGGUGCCCCCAGCAGCAGUUGUGGGGCGGUUUCCAUGCUGGUGCUGGUGCUGCCAUUGGAGUGUCAGUGGUGGUACCUCAGCCAGAGCUCCCAGACAGGUCCAUGAGCACUCACUGCACACAGGGAAGGAGCUGAACGGGCACAGCUGAGCCAGAGGCACAGCAGAGCACAGAGAACAGCCCUGGGCUCUGCUCUGGGCACUCGAGGUGUCACUGCUGUCCCCCAAGGCCAGAGGAGCUGAACCAGAGGAGGACCCAAGGGGUCGUAGCUGGUUAUCAAGGCAUAAAUAGGAAGAGAUUCCAGGCUUCCUGAAUUCCAGGCAGUGCUCUAAGGCCAAAGAGCAAAAUUAAAUAUUUAAAAUAACCAAACCAACCUUCCUCAGCUGGUUGGUGCCAGGUGGGGUCUGGCAGUGCCAGUGCCAAGCGCUCUGCCCAGGCACAGCCAGGCCCCCAUUAGAAAUAAGGAAAAUAUUAUGUCUUUAAAAUAUCUUAAAUAAAGAAAUAAAAUUUAGAAAGCA
Molecule: long non-coding RNA, 3179 nt
Filed under: Zonotrichia albicollis (white-throated sparrow)
Lineage: Eukaryota; Metazoa; Chordata; Aves; Passeriformes; Passerellidae
Description: lncRNA (ENSZALG00000009928.1)
Source: RNAcentral